This 248-nucleotide ribosomal RNA is filed under the name uncultured bacterium. RNAcentral describes it as "partial 16S ribosomal RNA". It matches the Rfam family "Bacterial small subunit ribosomal RNA", at positions 85 to 334 of the family's 1533-position model. The record is from RNAcentral.
AGGAUGGCGACCGGCGCACGGGUGAGUAACACGUAUCCAACCUGCCGAUAACUCGGGGAUAGCCUUUCGAAAGAAAGAUUAAUACCCGAUGGUAUAAUCAGACCGCAUGGUCUUGUUAUUAAAGAAUUUCGGUUAUCGAUGGGGAUGCGUUCCAUUAGGCAGUUGGUGAGGUAACGGCUCACCAAACCUUCGAUGGAUAGGGGUUCUGAGAGGAAGGUCCCCCACAUUGGAACUGAGACACGGUCCAA